This 458-nucleotide ribosomal RNA is filed under the name uncultured bacterium. Its description in RNAcentral is "partial 16S ribosomal RNA". It matches the Rfam family "Bacterial small subunit ribosomal RNA", at positions 338 to 795 of the family's 1533-position model. The record is from RNAcentral.
CCUACGGGAGGCAGCAGUGAGGAAUAUUGGUCAAUGGGCGAGAGCCUGAACCAGCCAAGUCGCGUGAGGGAGUACUGCCCUAUGGGUUGUAAACCUCUUUUGUCGGGGAGCAAAAGCCGGACGUGUCCGGCUGUGAGAGUACCCGAAGAAAAAGCAUCGGCUAACUCCGUGCCAGCAGCCGCGGUAAUACGGAGGAUGCGAGCGUUAUCCGGAUUUAUUGGGUUUAAAGGGUGCGCAGGCGGAUUUUUAAGUCAGCGGUAAAAUCGUGGGGCUCAACCCCAUCCAGCCGUUGAAACUGGGGAUCUAGAGUGUGCGAGAGGUAUGCGGAAUGCGUGGUGUAGCGGUGAAAUGCAUAGAUAUCACGCAGAACCCCGAUUGCGACGGCAGCAUACCGGUGCACAACUGACGCUCAGGCACGAAAGCGUGGGUAUCGAACAGGAUUAGAUACCCCAGUAGUC